CUUCCUACGGGAGGCAGCAGUGGGGAAUAUUGCACAAUGGGCGAAAGCCUGAUGCAGCAACGCCGCGUGAAGGAAGACGGUUUUCGGAUUGUAAACUUCUAUCAAUAGGGAAGAAAGAAAUGACGGUACCUAAAUAAGAAGCCCCGGCUAACUACGUGCCAGCAGCCGCGGUAAUACGUAGGGGGCGAGCGUUAUCCGGAAUUACUGGGUGUAAAGGGAGCGUAGACGGCGAGGUAAGCCUGAAGUGGAAGCCCGCGGCCCAACCGCGGAACUGC
RNAcentral lists this ribosomal RNA (275 nucleotides) under uncultured bacterium. RNAcentral describes it as "partial 16S ribosomal RNA". It matches the Rfam family "Bacterial small subunit ribosomal RNA", at positions 335 to 624 of the family's 1533-position model. The record is from RNAcentral.